GAGGCCUGUGUCUUCUACUUCUGAAUCUAUAUUAAGUUCAUUUCAACAGCAUCUGCUUCUGUUUAACACUAUUUUGCACAUAAUGAGGCCACACACACACACAAAAAAAUACCACACACAGAAUUCAUAAAGUCGAAUUUUUAGAACUAGAAGUGUUGAUCGAAUGUCAUUUAGAAUUGAGAAUAUAGUCUUAUAUGUGUCAAUUUGGUGGUGGUGUGGAAUAGUAUCUUCUUGAAGUCAUAGUAUGGCUUGGGUAUGUUUUAUUGUUACCUCUGCUAUUUUUAUUUUAGCAAGGUCUGUAUAAUAGUUUUUCACUCAGCUCCUUUGUAAAAAUAAUUUUCAAAACAUCCUUAACAUUUUAGAUAUGUGAUUAUUUUACAGAAAGAAUUUUCAAACAGUUUAAAUGGUACUACUUAAUACUUGGAAACUGAUGAUCAAACGUUUAAAUUGAAACUCUUUGUACCAGUGAACUGGUUUUUUACUAAAAGC
RNAcentral lists this long non-coding RNA (489 nucleotides) under Bos taurus (domestic cattle). RNAcentral describes it as "long non-coding RNA NONBTAT006205". The record is from RNAcentral. Lineage: Eukaryota; Metazoa; Chordata; Mammalia; Artiodactyla; Bovidae.